CAGUCGAACGGAGAUUAUACGCAGAGGCGAUUUCGGUCAAAUCAUGUGUAAUCUUAGUGGCGGACGGGUGAGUAACGCGUGGGUAACCUGCCUUACACUGGGGGAUAACACUUAGAAAUAGGUGCUAAUACCGCAUAAGCGCACGAAGCCGCAUGGAUUUGUGUGAAAAACUCCGGUGGUGUAAGAUGGACCCGCGUCUGAUUAGCUUGUUGGCGGGGUAACGGCCCACCAAGGCGACGAUCAGUAGCCGGCCUGAGAGGGUGGACGGCCACAUUGGGACUGAGACACGGCCCAAACUCCUACGGGAGGCAGCAGUGGGGGAUAUUGGACAAUGGGGGGAACCCUGAUCCAGCGACGCCGCGUGAGUGAAGAAGUAUUUCGGUAUGUAAAGCUCUGUCAGCAGGGAAGAAAGAAAUGACGGUACCUGACCAAGAAGCCCCGGCUAACUACGUGCCAGCAGCCGCGGUAAUACGUAGGGGGCAAGCGUUAUCCGGAAUUACUGGGUGUAAAGGGAGCGUAGACGGUUAAGUAAGUCUGGAGUGAAAGGCCGGGGCCCAACCCCGGGACUGCUCUGGAAACUAUUCAACUUGAGUGCAGGAGAGGUAAGCGGAAUUCCUAGUGUAGCGGUGAAAUGCGUAGAUAUUAGGAGGAACACCAGUGGCGAAGGCGGCUUACUGGACUGUAACUGACGUUGAGGCUCGAAAGCGUGGGGAGCAAACAGGAUUAGAUACCCUGGUAGUCCACGCCGUAAACGAUGAUUA
This 761-nucleotide ribosomal RNA is filed under the name uncultured bacterium. RNAcentral's name for it is "bacterial SSU rRNA". It matches the Rfam family "Bacterial small subunit ribosomal RNA", at positions 59 to 815 of the family's 1533-position model. The record is from RNAcentral.